This 253-nucleotide ribosomal RNA is filed under the name uncultured bacterium. Its description in RNAcentral is "partial 16S ribosomal RNA". It matches the Rfam family "Bacterial small subunit ribosomal RNA", at positions 524 to 776 of the family's 1533-position model. The record is from RNAcentral.
UACGAAGGGAGCUAGCGUUGUUCGGAAUCACUGGGCGUAAAGCGCGCGUAGGCGGCCAAGCAAGUCAGAUGUGAAAUCCCGGGGCUCAACCUCGGAAUUGCAUUUGAAACUGCAUGGCUAGAGUUCAAUAGGGGAUGGUGGAAUUCCUAGUGUAGAGGUGAAAUUCGUAGAUAUUAGGAGGAACACCGGUGGCGAAGGCGACCAUCUGGGUUGAAACUGACGCUGAGGCGCGAAAGUGUGGGGAGCAAACAGG